This 117-nucleotide non-coding RNA is filed under the name Gorilla gorilla gorilla (western lowland gorilla). The record is from Rfam by way of RNAcentral. Lineage: Eukaryota; Metazoa; Chordata; Mammalia; Primates; Hominidae.
GCCGGGCAUGGUGGCUCAUGCCUGUAAUCCCAGCACUUUGGGAGGCUGAGGCGGGUGGAUCACCUGUGGUCAGGAGUCCGAGACCAGCCUGGCCAACAUGGUGAAACCCCAUCUCUA